This 416-nucleotide ribosomal RNA is filed under the name uncultured bacterium. Its description in RNAcentral is "bacterial SSU rRNA". It matches the Rfam family "Bacterial small subunit ribosomal RNA", at positions 79 to 494 of the family's 1533-position model. The record is from RNAcentral.
GCUUUUUGCUGACGAGUGGCGAACGGGUGCGUAACGCGUAUGCAACCUACCUUUUUCAGAGGAAUAGCCCAGAGAAAUUUGGAUUAAUACCUCAUAAUAAUAUUUUUUCGCAUGUUAAAAUAUUUAAAGCUUCGGCGGAAAAAGAUGGGCAUGCGUAACAUUAGUUUGUUGGUGAGGUAACGGCUCACCAAGACUACGAUGUUUAGGGGUUCUGAGAGGAUGAUCCCCCACACUGGUACUGAGACACGGACCAGACUCCUACGGGAGGCAGCAGUGAGGAAUAUUGGUCAAUGGACGAAAGUCUGAACCAGCCAUGCCGCGUGAAGGAUGACUGCCCUAUGGGUUGUAAACUUCUUUUGUAUAGGAAGAAACCCCUCUACGUGUAGAGGGCUGACGGUACUAUUCGAAUAAGCACC